AAAGGCUUAGUUAAUUAAAUAUAACACUAGUUUGUCAAACUAAAAUAAUCACCAUGAUAGCCUUUU
This 66-nucleotide transfer RNA is filed under the name Stolotermes victoriensis. RNAcentral's name for it is "tRNA-Asp". The record is from RNAcentral. Lineage: Eukaryota; Metazoa; Arthropoda; Insecta; Blattodea; Termopsidae.